Molecule: ribosomal RNA, 248 nt
Filed under: uncultured Actinomycetales bacterium
Lineage: Bacteria; Bacillati; Actinomycetota; Actinomycetes; Actinomycetales
Description: partial 16S ribosomal RNA
Rfam family: Bacterial small subunit ribosomal RNA
Source: RNAcentral
CGGAGGUACUCGAGUGGCGAACGGGUGAGUAACACGUGGGUGAUCUGCCCUGCACUUCGGGAUAAGCCUGGGAAACUGGGUCUAAUACCGGAUAGGAGCCAUCUUUAGUGUGGUGGUUGGAAAGUUUUUCGGUGUAGGAUGGGCUCGCGGCCUAUCAGCUUGUUGGUGGGGUAAUGGCCUACCAAGGCGGCGACGGGUAGCCGGACUGAGAGGUUGGUCGGCCACAUUGGGACUGAGAUACGGCCCAG